CCCGUUCUCCCUCUCCGAGAGGAGGCCAUAAAUCACCCCACCAGCGAGGAUGUUUACGGCUCGCCGCCCUCCGUCACCCCCCGGCAGGAAGAGCGGGGUCGCGGUGUGACAGAAACUCAUCUUCAAAGGCAUAUGUUUAUUUUUUACAGCUCCGCUCUAUGAGCCUUCCAUUUUCAAAAAAGUAACCGGCGUCAUUUAACGACCUUCCCCUCGGACGCGUUCACCUGGAAGCUCUUCGCUUCCUCCCUCGGACCUCUGAAGAGCAAAGAACCGCCGGGCGAUCGGCCAGCAGCCGUGCGGGUCACCUCGGCGGCGCCCGUGAUGGCCCCCACCGGGGUCAGACCUCGUUUCCUCACGUUACGCCAAGAAUUCGAUCUGUCCCUGGUUGCCGCACGCUAACCAAAGCCGUUGCCGUGUUACCAUUUUCCAACAGGAUACUUCCGAUACAGGCUUUCCUCAAGACGGCUCCCACAUCCGCGCGGGAUACGUCGACCCGAGAAGGUCUGGGAACCGAGAGCUUCGGGCCUGAGAUGACCGUUUCACCGUCACAGCACCGAACAGCACGAUUUGCCCGAGGAGAAGAGUGAGGUGCUGAUGGGUUUGCAGCAUGGCUGUGUUCCACCCGACUGUCUUGCCAUCGACACCCGGCCCACAUCUUCCCUCUGGCCCGGAAGUCCCUCAUCCUUCACAGACGGCGGACCGUCACUCUUCCCACCUCCCAACCCUUAUUAAAAUCACAUCUGGCUCCAUUUAA
Ornithorhynchus anatinus (platypus) is the source of this 754-nucleotide long non-coding RNA. RefSeq lists it as uncharacterized. The transcript has 2 exons. NCBI's taxonomy places the organism in Eukaryota, Metazoa, Chordata, Mammalia, Monotremata, Ornithorhynchidae. The record is from RefSeq and is a predicted model, not a curated record.